Molecule: ribosomal RNA, 253 nt
Filed under: uncultured bacterium
Lineage: Bacteria
Description: partial 16S ribosomal RNA
Rfam family: Bacterial small subunit ribosomal RNA
Source: RNAcentral
UACGUAGGGACCAAGCGUUGUUCGGAUUUACUGGGCGUAAAGGGCGCGUAGGCGGUAAUUCAAGUCAGUUGUGAAAUCUCCGAGCUUAACUCGGAACGGUCAACUGAUACUGCUUUGCUAGAGUGCAGAAAGGGCAACCGGAAUUCUUGGUGUAGCGGUGAAAUGCGUAGAUAUCAAGAGGAACACCUGAGGCGAAGGCGGGUUGCUAGGCUGACACUGACGCUGAAGCGCGAAAGCUAGGGUAGCAAACGGG